RNAcentral lists this ribosomal RNA (208 nucleotides) under uncultured bacterium. RNAcentral describes it as "partial 16S ribosomal RNA". It matches the Rfam family "Bacterial small subunit ribosomal RNA", at positions 1293 to 1500 of the family's 1533-position model. The record is from RNAcentral.
UCGGAUCGCAGGCUGCAACCCGCCUGCGUGAAGUUGGAAUCGCUAGUAAUCGCGGAUCAGCAUGCCGCGGUGAAUACGUUCCCGGGCCUUGUACACACCGCCCGUCACACCAUGAGAGUCGGGAACACCCGAAGUCCGUAGCCUAACCGCAAGGGGGGCGCGGCCGAAGGUGGGUUCGAUAAUUGGGGUGAAGUCGUAACAAGGUAUC